UACGUAGGGUGCGAGCGUUGUCCGGAAUUAUUGGGCGUAAAGAGCUUGUAGGCGGUUUGUCGCGUCUGCUGUGAAAAUCCGGGGCUCAACCCCGGACUUGCAGUGGGUACGGGCAGACUAGUUCGGUAGGGGAGACUGGAAUUCCUGGUGUAGCGGUGAAAUGCGCAGAUAUCAGGAGGAACACCGAUGGCGAAGGCAGGUCUCUGGGCCGAUACUGACGCUGAGGAGCGAAAGCGUGGGGAGCGAACAGG
Molecule: ribosomal RNA, 251 nt
Filed under: uncultured bacterium
Lineage: Bacteria
Description: partial 16S ribosomal RNA
Rfam family: Bacterial small subunit ribosomal RNA
Source: RNAcentral